GAUGAACGCUGGCGGCGUGCCUAAUACAUGCAAGUCGAGCGAACAGACGAGGAGCUUGCUCCUCUGACGUUAGCGGCGGACGGGUGAGUAACACGUGGAUAACCUACCUAUAAGACUGGGAUAACUUCGGGAAACCGGAGCUAAUACCGGAUAAUAUAUUGAACCGCAUGGUUCAAUAGUGAAAGACGGUUUUGCUGUCACUUAUAGAUGGAUCCGCGCCGCAUUAGCUAGUUGGUAAGGUUACGGGUUACCAAGGCAACGAUGCGUAGCCGAACUGAGAGGGUGAUCGGCCACACUGGAACUGGGACAGGGUCCAGACUACUACGGGAGGCAGCAGUAGGGAAUCUUCCGCAAUGGGCGAAAGCCUGACGGAGCAAGGCCGCGUGAGUGAUGAAGGUCUUCGGAUCGUAAAACUCUGUUAUUAGGGAAGAACAAAUGUGUAAGUAACUAUGGACGUCUUGACGGUACCUAAUCAGAAAGCCACGGCUAACUACGUG
This 497-nucleotide ribosomal RNA is filed under the name uncultured bacterium. Its description in RNAcentral is "partial 16S ribosomal RNA". It matches the Rfam family "Bacterial small subunit ribosomal RNA", at positions 28 to 507 of the family's 1533-position model. The record is from RNAcentral.